UCAAAGCAGGAUCUCCUUUAUUGAGAAAACGCACACAGCUAAUAUAAUGUACAGGAGCCAAUCAGGAUAAAGGUCAGCAGGGUGGGGAGAAUUUACAUCUACACCCAUCCUAGUGGCAGUAACGGGAGACAGGAGCUGUCUGUGAAGGCAGAAGGGUUCUGAGCCUAUCCUAGAGGUGGUCCAAUUCUUCAUCACAACCCACGGCAAUGCCUUCUGGCUAACUGCUAGGUACUCUCUUAGCCACAGGUGGCCCCAGGACUGGGAAGCGGGUGCAGCCAGCAAGUUUCCUUCAGUUUGCAGUCUGGUGUGCUGCUCUUGUCGAUAUUGAAAGAUUCAAGUCUUAAAGGGGAAAGGAGACCUACCUCAGCCCUCUUUCCCCACCCAACACUCUCCCAGGCUCCAGAUGGAGGAAACUUCACCUCAGAAUGCCACAGAGCAACACGCACAAAGUUGGAAACCACAAUCAGAGGAACAUCCAAGGAGGACAUGCAAGAGGAAAGGUGUGGCCAACCCAAUCUUCCAUUUCUCUCUCUGAAAGAGAUGCUCCAUCAGCAGAGGAGAUGGGCUUCCAGUAGACCAAGAGCUCCUCAGGAGGAUGUAGAUCUGCUCCCAGCACCAGAGUUCUCAGUGCUUCCAUAGUUGCUCAGCUCAUAAAAAGUCAAUUCAUAUUUGCUGAAAGCUGAAUGAGUGGCUGACUAGAAGGAUACACAAAUGAAGGUUCAAAUCCUAAGCUGUUCUGGAAAACUCACCUAAGAGAAGGUAAUACAUGUACAUUAUUCCAGAGUGGAGAAAUCUCAUUCCCACAUGUCUCCAGGCUGGUCCCAAACUCCUGAGCUCAAGUGAUCCUCCCACCUCAGCAUUACAAAUUCCCUCCUGCUCCCAAAGAGAAACAGCUGAUGGAAGAGGAGGCAUGAGAGCAUCUUGGAGGAAGAACAGCCCAACUGGCUGCCUGGAGCAUCACCUCUGGGCUGUCAUCCCUCGCUAAGGGGUUGUACCAGCCACAUACCAAGGGCAUUCACUGAGGCCAUGUGCUGGGCCAGGAGGAGAAGAUAUCUGAUGUGGACUCUUCAAAAGAUAUUAUGGCUUGAAUAGUUUUGUUAGCUAUCUUCCCACUCUUUAACAGGGUUGCCUUCUGAACUUCACCAGCAUUUGCCCUCAUUCCUCUGCCCUAUAUUGCAUUUAAAUCCCAAAGCAUCACUUCUCUACAAUCCUCAAUAUCCUCCUUAAAUUGGAAGUAAAUCUCUCUCUCUCUCUCUUUCUCUCUCUCUCUCUCUCUCUCCUGUAAAGUGAACUCAGGGGUGCUUAACCACUGAGUAACAUCCCCAGGCAUUUUUAUACUUUAUUUAGAGACAGGGUCUCACUGAGUUACUUAGAGCCUCUCUAAGUUGCUGAGGCUAAAUUUGCUAAGUCACUGAACUUGAGAUCCUCCUGCCUCAGCCUCCCAAGCCACAGGGAUUAUAAGCAUGCACCCCCAUGCUCAGCUCUUUUUUUUUUCUCUUUUUAAAAUAGUAAAUGGUUACCUGCAAUAUAAAGUCCAUUUUUUAAAGAUAGAACUGAAGCACUUUAUUAACAGUGUUGUGAAAUACCAUGUUAUGAUUUAAAGCCAGACAAGCCAUUAUUUGUAAUCCUCUAACACAUUGUAAGCUUUCAACCCAAUUGUGGGAUUAGCCUAGCCAAACUUUGGGGCAGAAUAGACAAUAGUGAUACCAAAGUACUUUGAGUAGAUGCUCAAGUCGAUUUGCAUCAGUCCUAGAGACAGCCAUGGGGGAGGAAGAAAGAACUGCCAACAAAAAUUCAGGCACUACAAAAGAAACCUCAUAAUUUCCUACUUAAUUGUUACACAGGAUGUUUAAGCUCUUGGGUGAUCUUUGGCCCAGAUAUCCAAGGCAUUUUGCUGUCAGGGUUGCUUUUCAUGAAACUGGCAAUUUUACAUUCUGAUUUCUACAGAUCUUCACUUCAGUGAGUUCCCUUGAGCCAAGAUCUUUCAUCAUCAGGUGGCCUCUGCCUAAAGGAGAUAUAAUUUUUCCAGUCUUGAGACAGACGGUCUUUUGAAAGACCAUAGUCUCAGCACAAAAAGCAAAGAAUGGGGACACAAAGCUCACAUUUUUCAGCUUAGCCAGCACCUUGCUGUGUGUCUGCCCCUGUGCUUGGCUUCAAGACCCAGGGGGAAGCCUGUGGAGCAAAACCAGCUACUGAAUGAGGUGCCCUGGG
This is a long non-coding RNA of Marmota monax (woodchuck), 2211 nucleotides long. RefSeq lists it as uncharacterized. The record is from RefSeq and is a predicted model, not a curated record. The transcript has 6 exons. Lineage: Eukaryota; Metazoa; Chordata; Mammalia; Rodentia; Sciuridae.